Molecule: long non-coding RNA, 2200 nt
Filed under: Marmota monax (woodchuck)
Lineage: Eukaryota; Metazoa; Chordata; Mammalia; Rodentia; Sciuridae
Source: RNAcentral
GGAUGGGGUGGGUGGAGAGGCUGAGUCAGGGAGGGAGGGCCCCUCUGGGGAAGAGCCCCUCUGUGGGCAUCCGGCCCCCACCCCGUGUCUCCCGUCUGUCCUGGCUCUGACCGGGUUCUGCUGGCUGCCACCCCCACCCCCCACGUCCACACCUCUGUGUGUCCUGCCAGAGCCAAAGCGACUCCCUGCUUCUCCCUCCCUCGGCUCCUGUCUGUUGAGGUCUCUGCCUGCCCCGUGCCCUCCUCUUGUUUCCUUCAGAUCUUUGGCUUCCCUCCCUCCCCCAUCUUAUUCGGUCUCUGCGUCUCUGGCUGUCAGCGUCUUCCUGUGACUUUCCAUCCCCUGCCGGCCCCUCUUCUCCCUCCAUUUCCCUUGCUUCUCCUUCUUUCCCCCUUCUCACUUUUCUUCCUGCAUUUGUCCUUUUCUCCUGGGCCCCUGGGUUUCAGCUACUGUCUCACUAACCCUGUUUCCCGAUCCCUCUCUCCCUCCUCCUCUGGCCUUCACCCUCAUUUUUUCCUGUCCCUCCAUGCCCAGCCCUCCCUGGGCCCCCAUUUCCAUCUGUGUCUCCCAGAUCCAGGAAGCCUAACUGGAUGUCCAAGUCAGAGCUCCGCUGUGGGCCCAGAAUUAGGGGUCACCACCUUGCCCCUAGGCUGGAGGGGGCAGUAAGGCUUUGGGUCUGUCUGGCCAGAAGGAAAUGUCUGUGCUGUGGCCUGGUCACCCCCACCCCCAGACCUGCUGGGCUGCUGCCGCCCGAGGCUGGGGCCGAGUAAACACAGCCGCAGGCAGCCUGGGGAUAUUUAUACCAAGGCCGGGCGUGGGGCCAGUGCCCACCACAGCCCCUGCCCUGCCCUGCCCGCUGCCACCGCCAGCCCUGAGCCAACGUGGCACCAGCAGGCAAGGGGACGCCGCAGACGCAGCCUCCACUUACUCAGCACAAAGGCCAAUGGGUGGACACUGGUCAACCAGAUGAUGCCAGUGGCUUCACAGGACAGGAGGUCUCCCUUCCUUGAAAACACUGGCACACAAUACAGACCCACAUCCACCCCUGCUGAGAUCUCCCAACGCUCUCACACUCUGGAGCCACCAGCCUACAGGUGGGGACACCAAUACAGACUCCACCUGCUUGCAGCUGCCCACACAGGCUGAAAAUACCAGUCCCUGAGAUGGACACACACAAGCCACACAGUCCGGAAGUACAGCCUCCCACACAGACUGCAAGAGCCACGGAAGGCGUGUUGGAAACACCACAGAAACACACCAUCUGCAGAACACAAAAGUCCUCAGAAUACCAGCAAGGCACACGCGGAUCACACACUAGGGCUGGGGCGGAGCUCAGUGGUAGAGCACUUGCCCAACAUGCUCGAGGCCUCGGGUUUCACUCCUAGCAUCACAAAAAAAAAAAAAAAAAACAAGAAACAACUUAUGUACAGACACACAGACACUGGCAACAAUCACACAUGUGUACCAAAAACUUCCUUUAAAAGCCAAAUACACAACACCUCCUGGAAACAUCUUUGUCACAGACCUAUAAGCAUGCAGAAAACACCCAAAUUUCAGGUUGAAUUUACACUAAGAACAUAGAAAUUUACACCAAGAGAACCGGGAAGAUGUUGAGGGGGAGGGAAAAAGAAAAAACUAGCGACCCACUGGUACACAGACUCACCAGUCAGUGCCAGGACAUGGAGCCCAUGGAAAGUACCCCGGCGUGUCCAGCAGAAACAUGAACCAGCAGACACACUCAACAGAAAUGCAGCGCAGCCACAGACACGGAGCCGAACACGUGCUGGGGCGCACCCGCUGCCACCACCACCCACCAAAGGCCAAGAGGUGCCAGACCAGCGGCUUAGAGCCACCACACUUGCUGGAGACCCCCCCCCCCCCAGGUGCACACACGGGGCCUGAACACACCUGUGAGUUCCUACUGGAACCAGGCCACACCUAGCACUGGGACGCCCAGAGACCUGGCGGGAAGGGGGCUCCCCCGCUCCUCCCCCAUACCGACCCCAUCCCCGGGAGCCGGCAGGAAGGCCUGAGCUGGCCUCCCCCGGCCGCUUCCUGCCCGUCGGCCGGACGGGAAGCCGGGGCUCCAGCCGGAACCCAGGCUCCCCCCACGACUUCCCCCGACGGCCGGCCGCGCUGUCCCGGGCGGGGCUGGCGGGGAGGCAGCGGAGCGCCCCGAACCCCGGCCCUGCCCUUGCCCCUG